Molecule: ribosomal RNA, 618 nt
Filed under: Salmonella enterica
Lineage: Bacteria; Pseudomonadati; Pseudomonadota; Gammaproteobacteria; Enterobacterales; Enterobacteriaceae
Description: partial 23S ribosomal RNA
Rfam family: Bacterial large subunit ribosomal RNA
Source: RNAcentral
UGGUGGGUAGUUUGACUGGGGCGGUCUCCUCCUAAAGAGUAACGGAGGAGCACGAAGGUUGGCUAAUCCUGGUCGGACAUCAGGAGGUUAGUGCAAUGGCAUAAGCCAGCUUGACUGCGAGCGUGACGGCGCGAGCAGGUGCGAAAGCAGGUCAUAGUGAUCCGGUGGUUCUGAAUGGAAGGGCCAUCGCUCAACGGAUAAAAGGUACUCCGGGGAUAACAGGCUGAUACCGCCCAAGAGUUCAUAUCGACGGCGGUGUUUGGCACCUCGAUGUCGGCUCAUCACAUCCUGGGGCUGAAGUAGGUCCCAAGGGUAUGGCUGUUCGCCAUUUAAAGUGGUACGCGAGCUGGGUUUAGAACGUCGUGAGACAGUUCGGUCCCUAUCUGCCGUGGGCGCUGGAGAACUGAGGGGGGCUGCUCCUAGUACGAGAGGACCGGAGUGGACGCAUCACUGGUGUUCGGGUUGUCAUGCCAAUGGCACUGCCCGGUAGCUAAAUGCGGAAGAGAUAAGUGCUGAAAGCAUCUAAGCACGAAACUUGCCCCGAGAUGAGUUCUCCCUGAGACUUUAGGUCUCCUGAAGGAACGUUGAAGACGACGACGUUGAUAGGCCGGGUGUGUA